CCACAGAAACACGCUCCAGAAUGUCACUGCGGAAACGAAAGAAUCAACAAACAAGCAGUUGAAAUCUAAAGCUGCAUUUAUAAAUAAAUUAGUCGAGAUUUAACAGACUCUUACUUGAGAAUUCUUUCGCUGAAACUAGAGAUUCGAGAAGAUUCUAUGGUGCUGAUGCUAGGGCUCCUAGAGGACUGACAACAGAGCUGCAAAUACUGCUGUCUCUUGAGCACGGCCGCCACCAACCUCUCCCAAUUGUCCCGAGACGACGACAACGGUAACGGCAUCUCUCUUUCACCUUUAUUCCGCAGUAGAUUUUUGUCAGAUUUGACAUCAUUAUCAUUAUUAACAUGGAAUUAAAAGUGCAAAACACUGAAAUUUCUUGGAUAUUGCUGCCAAAGCUCAGCUGGGA
This 403-nucleotide long non-coding RNA is filed under the name Salvia miltiorrhiza (redroot sage). RNAcentral describes it as "long non-coding RNA (SMIL_LNC008019)". Lineage: Eukaryota; Viridiplantae; Streptophyta; Magnoliopsida; Lamiales; Lamiaceae. The record is from RNAcentral.